RNAcentral lists this long non-coding RNA (6811 nucleotides) under Nicotiana tabacum (common tobacco). RNAcentral describes it as "long non-coding RNA (NTAB_LNC006322)". Lineage: Eukaryota; Viridiplantae; Streptophyta; Magnoliopsida; Solanales; Solanaceae. The record is from RNAcentral.
ACCUGGAGUAAGAACAAUUCCGUAUAUUUAUCCCGUUGGAAACUUUCGUGGAGUGAACUUAGACCCAAAAUUGGAUUUAGGCUUCUGCGUUUUCAAACUUGUGGAACGAAAUUGGCCUGAUUUUUCUGAAAAUUUGGACGAAAAUUGCUUCAAUUGAAGCUUUUGUUUGAAAAUAGAAAUGCUUCUGCUUUUUAAUUAUUCUUGGCAUCUAAAGUCAAAAGCAGAUUGAUAAAGAGACCAAAGAAAAUCAUUUUGUCUUGCCUUUCAAUUUUCAAGAUUUGUACGUGUAGAUAGGGAAUCUCAUGCCUAAUGACUCAUCAAGAUUUUGUUUCCACUUUGGCUUAGAUUAGUGCCAAGAGGCAGUGCAAAAAGGAUAUUUAUUCACUUAAUACUAAUUAAUUAGAUAAUGUCUCGUUACCCAGUAGUUAAUCAAUUACCCGCAACAUUUGAAAAUUAUUCCCACUUACUUAAAAGAUUACUCUCUUUUAACAUAUCUUGUACACCUUAGUAGCAUGGCCAUGUAGUACCUUGUAUGGUACUAGUUCAUAAAUAUCGGGUAUUUUAGCUCGGGCCGUAUUUUGUUCCAAAAUACCAAACUUUGACAAAAUUUGUUUUCUUAGACUUGCUCCCCCUUUCACCUUCAUGAAUUUAUUAAUUACUUGUAAAAUAGCAUAAUCUUUAUAAUUCACAAAUAAUCUUUUCCUUGGACUGAUGUCAAUUAUCUUACAACAAAUUCAAUGUAAAAUAUUGUAGGGUGCAACACCGUCGUAACUUAUUACCAUAUAGCAUAACAUUGUCGUAAUAUAAUACCGCGGGACAUAAUAUUGACGUAAUAUUGCAGGAUGUAACAUCAUUCCCCCCUUUGGAACAUUCGUCCUUGAAUGUUGACUGACGUUCUUAUCAUUUUCGUAACGUACAGCUCUUAUGAAUACAUUAAUACUCUUCUUGUCAUUCAAGCAAUUGCUCUGUGAAUAAAUCCCAAGUUUAGGGUAUUAACCCCUUUAGUCCUUUUUGCUCGAUACUUUGUAGAACUUGUGAAUAUGGCCAUAUCUUGUUUCAUAUAUCUAGUUACCCAUUCACAUGACUUUACUGCAUUUACGUGGGUUAUACUAUGCCAUAAUUUUCACUUCAACCUACCUUUACUGAGGUACGCUUACCAAGCUCCCAGUUACUUUUGUUGCAUAUCUCUUAGGUAUAAAUAUCAGUCCUUUAAUGCUCCUUCAUUACCGUCCGUCUUAAGAACGACGGCCUAAUCUCAUCUCAUACUUGUGAAUUUUGUCCAUCCAUUAUUUAUUUGCCUCAAUAUUAAUCUACAAUAUACCAUUAUACCACUGAUAACUUGACCUUUUAGGUGUAACACUGUCGUUAGGGCCCAUGUCUCAUCAGGACAUCUGAAAUGAUUAGACUGAUCCACAUGGGGUUAUACCAGACGUUUAUAACUGUAUCUCAUAGCAUCCCAACGUGAUUCAUCUUAUGUGGGUAUUUUAAUCCCGUAUAAUUCAUGAAAUCCUCUUCAAAUCUUUACUCAAUCGAAGGCCCAAACUUCAUCCUUUAUCUUUCGCAAAUAUACCUUCAUUCUGUUACCAGGGCAGCAUUCUAUCUCGUCUAAAUGCUAUUAGUCUUAGACUCUUUUGAGUUCAUUCGGGUUAUACUGAACUUUCUAUAACUUAGAGAAACCAUUAUCUCUCUUGUUUCCAUGGACUUAAUCCUGAGGACUUUAUCCAUUCUCAUCACCUUCCCACUUGCCUUUUCUUAUCCUUAUUCUUGUCUUCCAGAACUCUAUCUCUUUACCAUUCCUUAUCUUGCGAUCUACACAUAUCUGUUUAUACUACUCACAACUUUUAUUCAACUUGCUUGCACCAUUGAUUUCCUUAUGUUAUUCUAGAUAUCAGGCAAAACAUUACAUCAUUUCUCACUCUUCUUUACUCUCUUAAUUACGUUUCUCGAUACCGAGAAACCAUAGGCUGUGAGAUAUGCCACUAUCAUUCCUGGAUAUUGAAUCCCAACACAUCUAGCCUUUUAUCCUAUGUAUGGACUAUUCACAUAUUCUGCUUUUGAGUAUCUCACACGCUGUUCACCUCUGCUUUCUUACCUUAAAAUCUCACAUUGUAUCUUCUAUCUCUUUCAUGACCUUCCUUCCACAUAGGUACAAUUCACGUCUAUACUUGAAGCUCUAUUAUAAUUUUUACACCUUUGGUGCAUACACAAUCCGGUGGGAGCUUCGUACUGACUUCUGAUGAGGCUGGUACUCUUCAGUUGGCUUCAUCAUAGAGCAAUUAUAAAAUGUCACUACUGUACUAUCUUUCUUAUACUUCUGCUACUUAAGAGUGAUCCGGAGGUCUAUAAUUCUUUUGGUCCUCCUAUUUUGCUUAGUAGAUGUAACUCUUUAGUCUCCUCUUUUUUUUCUGAUCAGCCUCCAUGUAGGCUUAAGAUAUCUUCUAACAUGCUGCUUCUGGUAUUAGUUAUUUUGUUUAUCCUUUCAUGGGCAUUGAGGAAUAUGCAUGAUACAAUCCUUUAACAAUUUAAUCCUUUGUUUAUGACCUAGGCUCUUUUAACGUAUACCAAAAUCUUCUACGGCUGUAUAUGCUGCAUAUAUAAAACUCCAAACCCUUAAGUGAGUUUGUAAUGUAACUAACUCUGGAUCAUUGAUCGAGUAAUUCCCUUUUUUUCCAUCUUAGCUCUCCUUAAACAUAAGCUAUUAUUUUUCCUCAUCUUUCUGCCCCGUUGUUGCGUCCAUACUUAGCUUAUCCUAGUGCCUAUAUAUAUUGAAAUUCCAUACAAUGCAUAUGAUCCUGAAUAUCACUUCUGAUUUUACUCCUUGUUCAUUAGCCACUGUAGGUGCCACUUUCUUAGGGAGUACAUAUAAUUUUAUUUUGAGACUGUUGUCACACGACCAUUUCCUCUUUAGGUCAUUGUACUGAGGUUGAAAUCUUCUUCCUUAUUUCAGCUAGUCUUUCGUCGUAGUACUUAGGGAAGACCCUCUAACGCUUGUAAAGAUGUGAGCUUAUUAUAUCGUAUUCCCGAUAGAUUUUUUUUUUAUGUUCAUGCUCACUUGUAAUUAUCCUUAGUUACUUACCUCCAUACUCAUCUGCUCGUACGGCUGCUUCUAAACUGAAGUUUUGACUGUCUUCCUAGUGGAACUGUCUUUUACUUCUGUAACACUCAUAUGGUACCUUUAACUACCCCAACUCCUAUUUUAAUAUUUCUCAAGUAUUUUAAUGAUAUUCUCCAAGGUUGAAUUCUCCAUGGUGGGUUCUGCUAUGUUUAUUUUACACGAUCUGAUGACUCGUCUGUAACUUCCUGUUUAGCCAUAACUGGGAUCCUAACCAAUUACUAACUACUCGUUGGCCCAUUCUCAUGUCAAUAUUCCUCGUAAUCUUUCUUGUGUUAUUUCCUUUGUCUUAACUUGCGUCUCGCACUGGCUCCAGAUUUACUAAUAACAGCUUGGAUAUGAACCUUUGCUCCCUCUCUUUGACGUCAUGCUUGCACAAUAUUCUUGAAUCGUAGCGUAUCUAUAAGAUUUGAAUAAGUGUCAUCUCAUUCAUGUUUCAUUUAUUGCAUUCUUCCUUUACCAUUCCAUAGUCACUAGAACUACUUAAUUCUGACUUAAUGCCACAUCACUCCAUAUUCCCCACUUUAGGGGUGUACUAAAAGUUGAAGCCACGAGGAUCUACCUAUAGAUGUUUUACCUCUUCAUCUUUGGUGUCGUCUCUCAAUAUCAAUGAUCCUUACUCGCCUUACGGCAAUUCUUCUGUACCAAGGAUGACAAAUUCCCUUAUUCGCGAGGGUGACACUUAGUGUAACUGGCACAUACAGUCUCUUAAACUUAACUUUGCUUACAUUGCUUGCUCUAGGGAAGCGUCUCCCUGAAUGACUAUUCUCUGAAUUCAUUGUGAAUCUUCUUCUGUGGUCCCUUCUAUUAUCGUCGGAACAAAAUCCAAAAUUCCCAUGAUGCUUAGUACUUUCCAAUCAUUCAGUCCCUAAUUCAUAUUUAGUUUAUCUUGUUUACCAGUCCAUACUAAUUUCUGUUACUCUGGAGAUUAACUCUCCCCUCUGGUAGUCGUGUUGGAGUCUCGAACUUAUUUCUUGAUACGAGGAUAUAACCUUAUGGCCUAUACUCUUUCCUUGUCUUAAGGACCAUCACCUUUUGUCUCUUUCUUCAUUUGACUAUAGGUUCUGUAACACUCUACUGUUUGCAUCCAUUUAUCACACCUUAUUUAUAAUGCUUCCUUAUCUCUCUUCUCAUUAUUCUGCUAAUAUUUCUGUAUAUCCCUUUUCUUGUGAAAACUUCAAUACGACAUUCUUAAGUUACUUAACGGUCUCGCUUUACUAGGGACACGAGCCACACUAAGGUAAUAUUUAUUCCAUCAAGGCUUAUAGUGCAUGUCUUUGUAUUACUCAUAUCUGGCUGCGCUAUUUUGGAGUGGACCAUCUAGGUGUCUCAUAAAGAGAUCUAUUAGCACAUUUGCAAUAUUCUUUGGAAAUGUCAACUGACACAAUCAAUUCAUCCAUCAUAUCUUCUUAUACUACUUUUGUUAACCCCCAUAGGGCAUGGCUGGGAUAGGUGUGGCCAAUUGUACGUACAUUUGUUAUUGUUGAAGGUAACUCAAAAUGUUUAUAUCUUCCUUCCUGAAUGAUAGUCUUUAUUAACUGGGUGCCUCGUACCCUUCUUCACCUUUCUUAUUUUACUUGUUGAAACUUGUGUCUAACUUCUGAUUCCGUUAUUCUUUUUUUACCAUAAGAGUGGAUAAGUAUUCUUGACAUAAAUCUCCUCAUCAAGAACCUUAUACGUCUUAGAACAUACAUGAUCUACUAAAGAUGGUACAUUUACUUAUCAUAUGCAUCAUGAAAAAUCGACUUCCUUUUACUCAACUCUUCCACAACUAUUUCUCUUCCCAACCCUCUUUCUGGAUGUAGGUAUCAUCUUAUUACAAAUAAUAAAUAAAAAAAAAUUUUGGAAUUUGACUUCUUAUAAGUGAGCUCUACCACACGAUCUAGAGUAAGAAGAAAGUGUGACAAUCCUAAAUGCCUUGUAGCCUCCUGCUUAUAAGUGUGGUGCACGACACACCCAUAAACAAGACUCUACUAGACACGGCUUGUAGACAUCCCUAAGAAAGAACUGCUCUGAUACCACUUUUGUCACGACCCAAACCGAUGGGCCGCGACGAGUGCCCGACGCCUUACUCAACCGAGCACCAACGUAACGUAUCUUUCUUAUCACAUCAUCAUAUACACGUGAAAUACAAGCCUAAUAGGCCAACAUAAUCAUUUAUAAACUCAAGACAUAGGCCGACAAGGCCAUACAAUCUUUCACAUACACGACAUAUGUCUACAAGCCUCUAAGAAUACAUAAAUGCCAUAAGGGUCGGGACAGAGUCCCGCCACACUAAACAAUACAGGUCUAAAUAAUACUAACCAGACGAGCAACUUCGAAGCAAAUGGAGCGCACCAACAUCUUCGGUUGAGCUGAUAGCGUACUUGGAGGGCUCUCAAUCUGUCUAUCAGGACCUGCGGGCAUGAAACGUAGCGUCCCCAGGCAAAAGGGACGUCAGUACGAAUAAUGUACCAAGUAUGUGAGGCAUGGAAGCAUAAACAAGAACAGUAAUGUAAAGAGAGACAGAUGAGAUACAACCUGUAACAUUUGAGUGCCUUUGGGGGCUACUAAUAUGAAAUGUAUAAUACAUAUAUAUACAUAAACUUUUUUUUUAAACAUUCGCCUCUAUGUUCAUCAUCAUCAUCAUAUCGUACUCGGCCUCAAAGAGGACUCGGUAAAAACAUACCUGGCCAUCAAUAGGCUCGGUAGAAUCGUACCCAGCCACAUGGAGCUCGGUAAUCCAACUGAUCAGUGGUUGCACAAUAGGUGUCGUACCCGGCCGACUAUAGCGCGGCUCGGUAGAGUAAAAUAUAUACAUAUAUAUUCUGAACCUUUCGGAGUGACAUAAGGUCGAUAUUUUCCGUACACAUUAUUAUGAAUAACUCUUGAUCAAGAAUCUUAUAAGAGUCAGAAGUACCAACAACAUUGAUAACAUAAGGAUAAGAGAAACAACAUCAACAUUAAUCGCUCCAUAAGAAGGGAAACAAUGUAAGUACUGCUAGCUUCUAAGAGUGGAGUAUCUUUGGGAGCUCGUUCAUUACGUUAUGUACAAUCGGAGUCAUGCAAAAUAAGGAAAUGAAUAGUAGUAGGAGAUAAUAGACGAUGAAGCAUAAGUUAAUAGCCUAAAUCUUCAAAAAUAUAUUAGAUACCUUAGUAUCUGAUCAUUGUCAUGGCUAAGUUGUGAUCCUAAAUAGAUGGGACCACACAGAUUGCUAUUAAACUAUGUCCAUGAGACAAGCAUAAUAGAUGCUAUGGAAAUCUCUUAAAACAAAUCAUGUACCAAAGGCCAUAAGACAUAGUGGAACUCCAGGAGAAAACGAACAGAAUAAAUUUCAAAGCCAAUGUCUUCAUAUGUGCAAGUAGAUAACCUUUAUUAAAAAUGCAGUACGGAUGGAAAUGGACUAUGUUGCUCGUUUAGUUUGUAUCGUACAGAUCAUGCCAAAAUGAAGAAAGGACAUAGCCUUAACAUACUUGGAGUAGGAACAAUUCCGUAUAUUUAUCCCGUUGGAAACCUUCGUGGAGUGAACUUAGACCCAAAAAUUGGAUUUAGGCUUCUGCAUUUUCAAACUUGUGGAACGAAAUUGGCCUGAUUUUUCUGAAAAUUUGGACGAAAAUUGCUUCAAUUGAAGCUUUUGUUUGAAAAUGGAAAUGCUUCUGCUUUUUAAUUAUUCUUGGCAUCUAAAGUCAAAAGCAGAUUGAUAAAGAGACCAAAGAAAA